UACGUAGGGGGCAAGCGUUGUCCGGAAUCAUUGGGCGUAAAGAGCGUGUAGGCGGCUCGGUAAGUCCGCUGUAAAAGUCCAGGGCUCAACCCUGGAAAGCCGGUGGAAACUGUCGAGCUAGAGUCCGGAAGAGGCGAGUGGAAUUCCUGGUGUAGCGGUGAAAUGCGUAGAUAUCAGGAGGAACACCGGUGGUGUAAACGGCUUUCUGGACCAUAACUGACGCAGAUGCACGAAAGCGUGGGUAGCAAACAGG
This 253-nucleotide ribosomal RNA is filed under the name uncultured prokaryote. RNAcentral's name for it is "partial 16S ribosomal RNA". It matches the Rfam family "Bacterial small subunit ribosomal RNA", at positions 524 to 776 of the family's 1533-position model. The record is from RNAcentral.